GCCUCGGCGGCCGGGCGGCGCGGGGCGGCCUGGUGUGCCGUCUCGAGCUCGUGACCCGGCGCGGCGCCGAGUUCGUCGCGCAGCCGUUGCC
Molecule: transfer RNA, 91 nt
Filed under: Actinoplanes digitatis
Lineage: Bacteria; Bacillati; Actinomycetota; Actinomycetes; Micromonosporales; Micromonosporaceae
Description: tRNA-Thr
Source: RNAcentral